This 312-nucleotide ribosomal RNA is filed under the name uncultured bacterium. RNAcentral describes it as "bacterial SSU rRNA". It matches the Rfam family "Bacterial small subunit ribosomal RNA", at positions 340 to 667 of the family's 1533-position model. The record is from RNAcentral.
UACGGGAGGCAGCAGUGGGGAAUUUUCCGCAAUGGGCGAAAGCCUGACGGAGCAAUACCGCGUGAGGGAGGAAGGCUCUUGGGUUGUAAACCUCUUUUCUCAGGGAAGAAGCUCUGACGGUACCUGAGGAAUCAGCAUCGGCUAACUCCGUGCCAGCAGCCGCGGUAAUACGGAGGAUGCAAGCGUUAUCCGGAAUGAUUGGGCGUAAAGCGUCCGCAGGUGGCGAUUCAAGUCUGCUGUCAAAGGUCGGGGCUCAACCCUGAACAGGCGGUGGAAACUGAACAGCUAGAGUGCGGUAGGGGUAGAGGGAAU